Molecule: long non-coding RNA, 194 nt
Organism: Dermacentor andersoni
Lineage: Eukaryota; Metazoa; Arthropoda; Arachnida; Ixodida; Ixodidae
Source: RefSeq, a predicted model, not a curated record
CCGGAAAGAGGUGAUGAUAAAAAUAGAGGAAGUCGUACAAUUUGAAGCGGUUACCGAGGAUGCUGAGACAAGAGUUCAACUCAAGAACAUAAUAGAAGUUACGCCUACGAAUGAUCCACCAAGGCACUUUCCUCAGACUUACACGGUUCUGCAAGUUGAACCUGAUUGCUUGCUUUUGUCAUCCGGCGUUACAA